Molecule: long non-coding RNA, 553 nt
Organism: Amphimedon queenslandica
Lineage: Eukaryota; Metazoa; Porifera; Demospongiae; Haplosclerida; Niphatidae
Exons: 4
Source: RefSeq, a predicted model, not a curated record
UGUUUAUAAAUCUCAAUGAGCCACAUAUUUAUUUUAUUUAUAAUGUCUCCUCUCCAUCAUCUCUCAUUAAUAUAUAUACUCCAGUAGUUCUGAAUCAAGUGAUGGAUCAGAUGAUCAUAAGACUAAUGAUGAUGAAAGGUCUCUGGAUGAGGUUGAUUUAGGUUCUCUCUCUCGUGCUAUUGCCACCAUAUCAAUACCUGAUACUCUACCUGAGGUACCUCUCCUGGUAAUCAAUAGGAACCCAAUGUUCCCAGGAUUUGUCAAAAUGGUGGAGGUUACUUAUGAAUCUCGAAUAUCUUUAAGAAAACAGGAAUGUGACCUGGUUUUACCUUAAUCUGGAGCUUUCCAUUAAAAGAAUGACAAUAAUGAAGCUGAUGUUAUCACUAAUCUUGAUGAUAUAUACAAUAUUGGUAAGUUUGUACAGAUCACUGAGUUUCAAGAGUUCAAUAAUAGAAUGAGAUCAAUAGACAAGUGCUGAAUUUUUAGAGAAAUUACGGUAGAUGAUCCUACCCAUCUUGCUGAUUUUGGAGCUGCACUGACCAGUGGAGAAUCA